UACAGGGGGUGCUAGCGUUGUUCGGAAUUACUGGGCGUAAAGGGCGCGUAGGCGGCCAUGUAAGUCAGGAGUGAAAUCCCGGAGCUUAACUUCGGAAUUGCUUUUGAAACUACAUGGCUAGAGUGAGUUAGAGGAUGGCGGAAUUCCUAGUGUAGUGGUGAAAUACGUAGAUAUUAGGAAGAACACCGGUGGCGAAGGCGGCCAUCUGGGACUCAACUGACGCUGAGGCGCGAAAGCCAGGGGAGCAAACGGG
RNAcentral lists this ribosomal RNA (253 nucleotides) under uncultured bacterium. RNAcentral's name for it is "partial 16S ribosomal RNA". It matches the Rfam family "Bacterial small subunit ribosomal RNA", at positions 524 to 776 of the family's 1533-position model. The record is from RNAcentral.